Rosa rugosa (rugosa rose) is the source of this 1092-nucleotide long non-coding RNA. RefSeq lists it as uncharacterized. Lineage: Eukaryota; Viridiplantae; Streptophyta; Magnoliopsida; Rosales; Rosaceae. The record is from RefSeq and is a predicted model, not a curated record. The transcript is spliced from 4 exons.
UUGGUAAAAAGACACUAGACAAACUUCACACGUGUGUUGAGUUUUUAAAGAAAGUUGUGAUAAAUAUUAGGAGAUAAAUUAUGAUAAGCAACAGAGCUCUGGGAACCGUAAUCCCCCAUUUUCCAACAGAACCCAACAAAGCUGCUCCGAAAUAAAGACAUCAUGCUCUGAACUCUGGACAAUAAACAGGGCACCUAUGCAACAAGUAAGGGUUAGCAAUGACUGGGUUAGCUCAACAAUGUUCAAGUUAUGAUACAGAUUUUUAUGAUGUUCACUUUAAAAAUUUUGAAUUAUUUCAUUUUGUCAAGUAAUAAAUUUCUAUAGUUUAAAUAUUACUCAAGGAAAUUGAUAGAACUAUAUUUCUUUUUAAAAUUGAUAUGUAUUGGUCAUUGAUUGACUACCACAAUCAGUGAUUGUGAUCUCUUUAGAAUGGUAGAUCUAUGCUUGUGGAUCAUUGAUCAAUACACUUCAUGCUGUCAAUUGUUGUGAAUCUCCGAGUUACAUUAUCUUACUUGUAAAACCUUUUAUUUCAGCAAGAGGAAGCCUGGAACGCAUACCCAAUAUGCAAAACAGGUUUGGCGUGUCUUUAUCUUGUUAUUUUCUGUGUAUAUCAAUUGUUAAACAAUCUUAAAUAAUUUAUCUAACAAAGUUUUUGACUCUGGUUUCUCUGCAAUGGAUGCCCAAUCAUACAGUAAUCAAGGUUUUAGUUGAGAAAAUGGGGCUUCCUGAAGCAUCUUGAAGUGUGGGAUCAAGUAAUAUGGAUUUACUAGGGUGCAAUAGAUGUGUUGGAGAGAAGCACUCGGGUUCAGUAGCUUGAUGGAACUGUUGUACCACUAUGAUCUUCUCCAUUGGAGGAACUAUAUGGUGGAUUGUUGCAUAAAGAGUCAUUGGAAGAUCAAGCAUGGAGUACCCGGCAUUGCAGCAAGCUAUAUUUUCUUUCAUCAUGUAAAACUUAGCCAGAAAACUUAAAAGCUUCUUAGUCUAUGAGAUGUAUCAAUGUUUUAACAAUGUUCCUUAAAUUCAAUAUUUGAUGAAUUGAUGUAUCACAAUGCUUUUGGUACAAAUAUUGAUCAUUUGAUGGUUUGCAUUCAA